UGGUGGCGCAUGUCUGUAAUCCCAGCUACUCGGGAAGCUGAGGCAGGAGAAUCGCUUGAACCCAGGAAGCGGAGGUUGCAGUGAGCCGAGAUCGCGCCACUGCACUCCAACCUGGGCAACAAUACAAGACUCCAUCUGAAAAAAAAAAGAUCACACAGGAAAACAGAAGUUCGAUUUUACGUCGUACACUGCUGUAAUUUCAGCACAUGUGGACUCGUGUAACCAACACCAUAACCUUCCAUCACCCCUGAAACUCCCUCCCGCCAGCCCUUUAGGGUUGCCCCUCCCCCCGAACCCCACCAGCCCCUGGUGACCACUGAUCUGUCCUCCAACCCAUAGUGUUUUUCCGGGAAUGUCACAAAAACAGAAGCCGACCAUGGGUCACCUUUCUGGCGCCUUUCUCCCCGCACAAAGUCUUUGUCCUUGUGAAGUUGUCACGUGCCAAACGCUUGUCCCUUUUUCCUGCUGGGUAAUACUCCCGGUGCCGCCCUUGCUGUUCGUCGAUGCACAUCUGGCUGCUUUUCGCUGGCUGCGAGCGGAGCUGCUAGGGACAUGGCCACGGGGCUGUGAGAGCGGAGUUUCCUCUCUCCGGUGACCCUGAGCUGCGCCUUUCUCAGCCGCCUCCCGAGGCCCCAGGCGCUCUGCGGGGGCUCUGGCGGGGUUGGUGGGGGUGGGCGUUCUCGUUGUUUCAGCGGCGCUGCCCCAGGCCCUGCGGGAGGGACCGUGGGACCCGAGACAUCCCCGCCUGGCCUCCGCUCCCCACCCGGGAGUGGGGCUCGCACCCCCCCAACCUCGGGUAAAGACGCUUCUGGAAGGAAGGGCGCCCCGCGGACCCCGCCCAACCCUGCCCAGCCCAGCCCAGCCCAGCCCAGCCCUUCCCGGGGCGGCGGCGCGGGAAGCAGGCGGCGGCGCACGGGCGUCGUCAUGGCAACCCCACCGGCUCCGGGGGCCGGGACCGCUGCCCCCUCCGCCCCUCGACCCCCGCCCCCCCGCCCUUCCUGGCUGCGGCUGGACCCGGCUGCGCGGGGCGCGAGGCUGCCUUUCCCGGGAUCACCAGGGACCACCCGGCGCGCUCCCCGGGAAUCCGCACCCCUGGCCCCAGCGCUCCGGAGCGACCCGGGUCAGCCCCUGGCUGCCUGCAAUGGGCCCCCGGGCGAACCCCGGGCGGACCCAGGAGUGAGCACCCGGUGCGCGGCAACGAUGAUCCCGCAAGGGAAGCUCACGGGAGGCAGGAGCUGUGGCAGCCGCCCCAGGAUGGGGCGCGGGGAGCGCGCUGAGCUGUCCUUUCCCGCAGCGGCCCCGCGGUUGAAGCGUGGGCUUGGGUUUUGGUUUUUCUUCUGUGGCAACAGUUCUGUUGAGAUAUUACUCGCCUGCCAUACAACUCACCCAUUUUAAAAGUACACCUCAGGGGUCCUGCGUGUAUUGACAAACCCGCCGCCGUCACCACAGCCAAUUUCAGAACAUUUUCAUCUCUUCAAAAGAAACCCUGUACCCUUCAGCUGUCACCCUCCUGGUCCCCAUCCGGUCCUCGUCCCGCCCUCAGCAGCCACGCACUGCCUGUAAAGUCCCCUGUCCUGCCCUGUAGGUGGAAUCUAUACCUUGGGGUCUGUUCUGACGUUCACCUAACAGCCUUUCCAGGCUCAGCUGUGCUAUUGUAUGGACCAGGGGGUUGUUUUGUUUUUGUUGUUUGUUGAUUGUGUGUGUGUGUGUGUGUGUGUGUGUGUGUGUGUGUGUGAGCCUGGCGUGGUUGCGGGCGCCUAUAAUCCCAGCUGCUCAGGAGGCUGAGGCAGGAGGAUCA
RNAcentral lists this long non-coding RNA (1798 nucleotides) under Homo sapiens (human). Its description in RNAcentral is "HSALNT0392091". The record is from RNAcentral. Lineage: Eukaryota; Metazoa; Chordata; Mammalia; Primates; Hominidae.